Orcinus orca (killer whale) is the source of this 3992-nucleotide long non-coding RNA. RefSeq lists it as uncharacterized. The transcript is spliced from 2 exons. NCBI's taxonomy places the organism in Eukaryota, Metazoa, Chordata, Mammalia, Artiodactyla, Delphinidae. The record is from RefSeq and is a predicted model, not a curated record.
UGAGCACCGGCACCUCGGAGACUCGGGUGAACGCCAGGUCCCGGCGCCCCGGCCCCUCGGCACGCCCAGACCCUGUUCGGGUCCUCGCGUCCCGCUCUCGGCGCCGGAAAGAGCGUCUCUCGGUCACGGAGAGCAACUGCGGGAGCGCCGAGCGGAGGACGACGAUCAGAUGGGAUGCCGGCCUUUGAGGGGCUCACAAUCUGGGGAGAAAGCACCUUUUAAAAAGGCCGGAAGCACAGAGGGCUUUCUUGUGAAACAAGUCUUCCAGAGGACCCAGUGGGAAGAAUGCUUGUGAAACAGGUUGACAUGGACGGUGAUACUUAAUACCUGCCACAUAUGUAAGGCUUCCCUCCACAUUUCGGUACUUUGUUUCCUUUUUACAACCAGGACAGCUAUUAAGAUCCCCUUAUUAUAAUGAAGAACCUAAGGCUUAGAGAUGUGAAAUGCCCUGACCAAAAUAUCUGUCCCCAAAGUCAGACUCUUCACCACAGGAUAUAAGGCCUCAUCCUUAUUCUAUUAAUCUACGAGGUCAACAGAUGAAGGAUACUUUGUGAAUACAAAGGGGUUAUGAUAACUAUUGCAUCAUUAAUCCAAAAUGGGAAAAUAUUUGAGCAGAAAAACAAAUUUGAUAACAGGGUCCAGAUUGAUUGAUUUGUGUGGGAUCAGAGUGUACACUCAUUCAACAGGUGUUUUAUUCAUGGACUAUAUAGCAUUGAGGAUAAAAAAAGAAGAAAAAGAAGUCUGUCAUUAAGUUGACGGCUUGUGUUCUUUUUUACUUUUUUUUCUUUUUUUUUUUGGCAGGCGCCGAGUGGCAUGUGGGAUCUUGGUUCCCCUUCCCUGACCAGGGAUUGAACCCAUGCCCCUGGAAGUGGGAGCGUGGAGUCCUAACCACGGGACCACCAGGGAAGUCCCUCGUGUUCUUUUAUAAUCUUUUGUUUUGAAGAAUUCUAACCUUCAGGACGAUUGUGAACCCUGGGGAACAUGGACUUCGUCAUGAUUUUGGGUGGAGAUAGAGCAAAAGUAAGGCUGAAAGGGAUGGCCCCCACCUCUGCUAUCAGAAGGGUCAGCACUGUAUUCCUUUCAUAGGUGAAGAAACUCGAAGGGGAAACGAUGAGUAAUGAGUCAAGUUUACUCACCCAUUAGAUAGUGGAGUUAGCACCCCUGUCCUAGGCUUCUGACUGAAAUUCCAGGCUCAUUCCAAUCACCCUUGAACCAAAUAUCCUUUUUCUGGAAAGUGUUGACCACUUUCAGGUUCUGACUAAAUCCUAGAAAGGCAUUGGUCCUAUGAUAUCUCCUGACUUUCAAAGGUUAAUCAAUACCCAGACUCUAAAAACAGCUUGGAAUGUCAUUGAUGCCACAGAAUUGUACACUUAACAAUGGUUAAAAUGGCAAGUUUUAUGUUAUAUAUAUGUUUACACAGUUUAAAAAAUUAAUGGGGCUUCCCUGGUGGUGCAGUGGUUAAGAAUCCGCCUGCCAAUGCAGGGGACACAGGUUUGAGCCCUGGUCCGGGAAGAUCCCACAUGCUGCGGAGCAACUAAGCCCGUGCACCGCAACUACUGAGCCUGUGCUCUAGAGCCCGCGAGCCACAAAUACUGAAGCCCAUGUGCCACAACUACUGAAGCGUGCGCGCCUACAGCCUGUGCUCUGCAACAAGAGAAGCGACUGCAAUGAGAAGUCCGCGCACCGCAACGAAGAGUAGCCCCUGCUCGCCACAACUAGAGAAAGCCCGCACACAGCAACGAAGACCCAACGCAGCCAAAAAUAAAUUACUUAAAUAAAUUUUAAAAAAUAAUAAUGGUGUAAUACAACAGAAACCAUUGAAUUGUACAGUUUCGACAGGUGUGGAUGGCAUGUGAAUUAUAUCUCGAUAAAGCUGUUUGGAAAAAUAAAGUAGGUUGAGCCUGUUAAGCUAAAGUCCUGGAGCACCCUCUUACACUGUUGGUGGGAAUGUAAACUGAUACAGCCACUAUGGAGAACAGUAUGGAGGUUCCUUAAAAAACUAAAAAUAGAACUACCAUACGACCCAGCAAUCCCACUACUGGACAUAUACCUGGAGAAAACCAUAAUUCAAAAAGACACAUACACGCACCCCAACGUUCACUGCAGCACUAUUUACAAUAGCCAGGACAUGAAGCAACCUAAAUGUCCAUCAACAGAGGAAUGGAUAAAGAAGAUGUGGUACAUCUGUACAAUGGAAUAUUAGCCAUAAAAAGGAAUGAAAUUGUGUCAUUUGCAGAGACGUGGAUGGACCUAGAGACUGUCAUACAGAGUGAAGUAAGUUGGAAAGAAAAAAACAAAUAUAGUAUAUUAACACAUACAUGUGGAAUCUAGAAAAAUGGCAUAGAUGAUCUUAUUUGCAAAGAAGAAAUAGAGACACAGACGUAGAGAACAAACGUAUGGAUACCAAGGGGGAACGGGGGGGCGGUGAAUUGGGAAGUUAGGAUUGACAUAUAUAUACUACUAUAUAUAAAAUAGAUAACUAAUGAGAACCUACUGUAUAGCACAGGGAACUCUACUCAGUGCUCUGUGGUGACCUAAAUGGGAAGGAAAUCCAAAAAAGAAGGGAUAUAUGUACACGUAUGGCUGAAUCACUUUGCUGUGUAGCAGAAACUGACACAGCAGUGUAAAGCAACUAUACUCCAAUUAAAAAAAAAAAGUCCUGGACCAGAAUUGUAAAUAUACCUCAGGCUGGAAAACUGGAGAGCAAGGAAAUCAGAAUUGUAAUCUGUCCCCCACAUACUCACACAGGUCACUGGAACUAGGCUACUCUUCUCAAGAUGGUGGGGGGUGGAGGAAUACCUAAUGCUUAAGACUGUGCUUGGGAAAUACAUUCAUGAACUCCCUUCUCUGAAGGGGGAGUUUUUCACUUGGCCAGUUUUUUGUUGUUGUCCAUUUGUUUACACGUUAUUGUGGGAAAAGUUGAAUAUAUAGAAAAGCAAACCUAAAACUCGAACUUCAACAAUUAUCAAUCCAUGGCCAGGUUUGUUUCAUCUGUAUCCCCACCCAUUUCCCCCAUCCUGUAUUAAUUUGAAGCAAAUGCCAGGCAUCCUAUUAUUUCAUUGGUAAAUAUCUCAGUAUGACUCUAAAAGAUUAGAACUCUUUUAAAUACACACACACACAAUUACCACAAUUUAAAAAUUAAUAAUUCCUAUGUCCAUCACACAUGAAUGGGUAAACAAAAUGUGCAAUAUACUUACAAUGGAAUACUCUUCAGCCUUUUUUAAGAUAGCCUCCGUUUUUGUUAUAUCACUGGUUGUUUUUUAUUUUUUAGAUUUCACAUAUAAGUGAUGAUAUACAGUAGUUGUCUUUCUCCAUCUGAUUUAUUUCACUAAGCAUAAAACCCUCCAGGUCCAUCCAUGUUGUUCAAAUGGCAAAAUUUCAUUCCUUUUUAUGCUGAGUAGUAUUCCGUUGCAUAUAUAUAGCACAUCUUUAUCCAUUGGUCUGUUGAUGUACCCUUAGGUUGCUUCCAUAUAUUGGCAAUUGUAAAUAAUGCUGCUAUGAACAUCGGGGUGCAUGUAUCUUUUCGAAUUAGUGUUUUCAUUUUCUUUGGAUAUAUACCCAGAAGAGGAAUUGCCAGAUCGUAUGGUAGUUCUAGUUUUAAUUUUUUGAGGAACCUCCAUAAUGUUUUCCACAGUGGCUUCAUCAAUUUACGUUCCUGCCAACAGUGUGCAAGGGUUCCCUUUCUCUACAUCCUCACCAACAUUUGUUAUUUGUGGUCAUUUUGAUGAUAGCCAUUCUGACAGGUGUGAGGUGAUAUCACAUUACGAUUUUGAUUUGCAUUUCUCUGAUGAUUAGUGAUGUUGAGCAUCUUUUAUGUGCCUGUUGGCUAUCUGUAUGUCUUCUUUGGAAAAAUGUCUAUUCAGGUCUUUUGCCCAUUUUUUAAUCAAGUUGUUUGGGUUUUUUUGAUAUUAAGUUGUAUGAGCUCUUUUUGUAUUUUGGAUAUUAACCCCUUAUCGGUCAUAUCCUUUGCAAAUAUAUUCUCCUAUUCAGUA